Long non-coding RNA from Aethina tumida (small hive beetle), 608 nucleotides. RefSeq lists it as uncharacterized. The record is from RefSeq and is a predicted model, not a curated record. NCBI's taxonomy places the organism in Eukaryota, Metazoa, Arthropoda, Insecta, Coleoptera, Nitidulidae. The transcript is spliced from 3 exons.
CAGAAAUCGAUGAGGAAACGGCAAAACGCCUUCAACAGCUGGAUAUAAAUGGACACAAAUAUGAGAAGAGUGGCGAUCUUACGGAUAUCUCCAUCAUAAAUGGGAACAAGGAAUAACGUGACAAUCAUCUUGACAUACUUGUAGCAGUCCGCUUCCCAAUUUCGAUCACAACAAAAUCCCAAAGCCAGAUGAGACUAAAGUUUCGCACAAAAUUUUAACAGCACGCCCCCGAUGUUGCAGCGCACAAAUAAAAGAGGAGUUAAUCAAAGAAGACAGAUACGCCAAGUAUUUUAAACGUCUGGAAAAACGUUCCAGUAGCAUUAACUUCGAGAUUUGGAAGAGAAAACAAAAUCGAGAAAAAAUAGAAACCAAUUUCAAUGGACAGCCACCUGCUGGUUUGUUUAAAAAAAAUCAAUUUUCGAAAUGAGGAACGUAACAUCUUGUUUUGAUGAUUGCACCAUCUAAGUUAAAUAAAGGACCAUUUAAUGACAUGAAAUGUCAUGGUUUUUAAAUUAAUGUAUAAUUUUUAGGGUCUAUUUGUCACUUCUCUAACAAAUUUAACAAAUAUUUAGACGUGUUAAAAAUAAAAGGUUUCAUCUUCAGAAGAA